This 301-nucleotide ribosomal RNA is filed under the name uncultured bacterium. RNAcentral describes it as "partial 16S ribosomal RNA". It matches the Rfam family "Bacterial small subunit ribosomal RNA", at positions 509 to 807 of the family's 1533-position model. The record is from RNAcentral.
CAGUCGCCGCGGGAACACGAAGGGGGCUAGCGUUGUUCGGAAUUACUGGGCGUAAAGGGCGCGUAGGCGGCCAUUCAAGUUAGAUGUGAAAGCCCUGGGCUCAACCCGGGAAUUGCGCUUGAUACUGGUACGCUUGAAUCCAGGAGAGGUUGGUGGAAUUCCCAGUGUAGAGGUGAAAUUCGUAGAGAUUGGGAAGAACACCGGUGGCGAAGGCGGCCAACUGGACUGGUAUUGACGCUGAGGCGCGAAAGCGUGGGGAGCAAACAGGAUUAGAUACCCCCGUAGUCCCUGUCUCUUAUAC